AGGUCAUGCGGGACUACCCGCUGAG
This 25-nucleotide ribosomal RNA is filed under the name Teucrium lamiifolium subsp. stachyophyllum. RNAcentral describes it as "partial 28S ribosomal RNA". Lineage: Eukaryota; Viridiplantae; Streptophyta; Magnoliopsida; Lamiales; Lamiaceae. The record is from RNAcentral.